RNAcentral lists this ribosomal RNA (253 nucleotides) under uncultured bacterium. RNAcentral describes it as "partial 16S ribosomal RNA". It matches the Rfam family "Bacterial small subunit ribosomal RNA", at positions 524 to 776 of the family's 1533-position model. The record is from RNAcentral.
UACAGAGGUGGCAAGCGUUGUUCGGAAUUACUGGGCGUAAAGGGCGCGUAGGCGGUUCGUCAAGUCCUGUGUGAAAUCCCCCGGCUCAACUGGGGAACUGCACAGGAAACUAGCGGGCUUGAGUUCGGGAGAGGGAAGCGGAAUUCCGGGUGUAGCGGUGAAAUGCGUAGAUAUCCGGAGGAACACCGGUGGCGAAGGCGGCUUCCUGGACCGACACUGACGCUGAUGCGCGAAAGCCAGGGGAGCGAACGGG